CAAUUAAUGGCGUUUAUAAGCCGGAAGCAGGAAGUAGCCAGGAGACAGGAAAUGAGAUCGAUUACAUUUCUGCUCAAGAGACGACUUCCAGCGCCGGGUUCUUUGUCAUGAAGCUGUGUUUGACUGUAGAAGCUGAGUUGGCCAGGCUUCUCUUUUUGAUGUCACGCUAAGGAAAAUAAUCACCUAGUCCAAGGAUCAAGUUUGGAAGACUCCAGCCAGGAACCUCACCACAUGUUCUGUCUGGACUGGUAGGAGGCUUUCCAGCCAACCCUUUACUAUUUUCACCUUUACCUGAAGCACAUGGACUGUACUGCCAUCGUUUUUUUCCCCAAGAACAACUAUCUGAACUGAGAUUUGAACAAGAUCCAGAGACACUGCUUAGUUUAAAUGGAAUUGUAUAUAUGUAUAUAGUACUUGUGUUUUUCUCUUUAAAUUGCUUUCAUGUUGAAUGGCCAUUCAACUCAUUGUGUGUGUGUAUAUAUCUGCUGUCCAUCACUAAUUCUGUAAUGCACGCUGUCAACCAAACUACAAUUCAAGCUCUGUCUCUCUCUAUGAGUUGAAACUAGUGUUCUGUUCCUAGCCGAAAA
Nerophis ophidion (straightnose pipefish) is the source of this 587-nucleotide long non-coding RNA. RefSeq lists it as uncharacterized. The transcript has 3 exons. The record is from RefSeq and is a predicted model, not a curated record. NCBI's taxonomy places the organism in Eukaryota, Metazoa, Chordata, Actinopteri, Syngnathiformes, Syngnathidae.